UGAAUACGAGAUGCUACGGCGUCGAAGCAGUGUAUGUCAGACUUCCAAGAAAAGCUCGCAAUGUCAUAAAUAAAGAAUGCCUGUACCAUAACCGACACAGGUGGGUAGGUAGAGUAUACUAAGGGGCGCGAGAUAACUCUCUCUAAGGAACUCGGCAAAAUAACUCCGUAACUUCGGGAGACGAGUGCCUUCUAUUAGAAGGUUGCAAUAACAAGAUCCAAGCAACUGUUUAUCAAAAACACAGGUCUCCGCUAAGUCGUAAGACGAUGUAUGGGGGCUGACGCCUGCCCAGUGCCAGAAGGUUAAAGAAGUUGGUUAGCUUUGGCGAAGCUGAUGACUGAAGCCCUGGUGAACGGCGGCCGUAACAAUAACGGUCCUAAGGUAGCGAAAUUCCUUGUCGGGUAAGUUCCGACCCGCACGAAAGGCGUAAUGAUUUGGAUACUGUCUCGGAGAGGGACUCGGUGAAAUAGACUUGUCUGUGAAGAUGCGGACUACCUGCACCAGGACAGAAAGACCCUAUGAAGCUUUACUGUAACUUGAAAUUGAAAUUGGACUUUAUUUGCGCAGCAUAGGUGGAAGGCGUUGAGAUUACUCUUGCGGGAGUACUGGAGCCAUCAGUGAGAUACCACUCCUAUAAUGUUAGAUUUCUAACUUUGGAUCAUGAUCUGGUCAAAGAACAGUUUCAGGCGGGCAGUUUGACUGGGGCGGUCGCCUCCCAAAUGGUAACGGAGGCGUACAAAGGUUUCCUCUGAACGGGUAGAAAUCGUAUCUAGAGUGUAAAGGCAUAAGGAAGCUUGACUGUGAGACCUACAAGUCGAGCAGGGACGAAAGUCGGUCUUAGUGAUCUGACGGUGCUGAGUGGAAAGGCCGUCACUCAACGGAUAAAAGUUACUCUAGGAUAACAGGCUGAUCUCCCCCAAGAGUUCACAUCGACGGGGAGGUUUGGCACCUCGAUGUCGGCUCAUCGCAUCCUGGGGCGGUAGUACGUCCCAAGGGUUGGGCUGUUCGCCCAUGAAAGCGGUACGCGAGCUGGGUUCAGAACGUCGUGAGACAGUUCGGUCCAUAUCCGGUGUAGGCGUUAGAAUAUUGAGAGGAGCCUUCUUUAGUACGAGAGGACCGAGAAGGACAUACCUCUGGUGUACCAGUUAUCGUGCCAACGGUAAACGCUGGGUAGCUAUGUAUGGAGAGGAUAACCGCUGAAAGCAUCUAAGUGGGAAGCCCACCUCAAGAUGAGUAUUCUCA
This 1242-nucleotide ribosomal RNA is filed under the name metagenome. RNAcentral's name for it is "bacterial LSU rRNA". It matches the Rfam family "Bacterial large subunit ribosomal RNA", at positions 1564 to 2816 of the family's 2925-position model. The record is from RNAcentral.